AACUUUAACACCAAACUAAUAAAGAUGACAUUCAGCACUCACACUGCUAUCUAGCGAAUCACCACCACUGCUACAUUCAAACCCAAUGUGGUCACCCACCGCCAUCUCUCAACACCAGCAGCCACUAAAUGUCUCACAAGGAAGCCGUUGGGAGGGGAGCCACCCCACCACCCGAGGAAGAAUCGAGGCCUCAGCUAACAUGUCACUGACUCGUCCAUUCCGUUCGAAGCCAGCUUCCAGGGAAUACCACAGCGAGCCUACUGCCACUCUACGCACCACGCUACACCACGCUACACCACGUUACGCCACGUUUCACCACACCACGCUACACCACGUUACACCACGUUACACUACACUGCACUACACCACACCACACUAUACACAAGGUACAUCUCGCAUCCACACACCAACUAGGUUAUAGGCGGUCGACCCCCCGAGCGACCGUGCCUUCGAGUGCACCACCUGCUGGGAUCUAACCACAUCAAAUACAAAUUUAUACACGUGGAUUGUUUCAUCACACAUGCUACGAUCUGGAUUCAUCGCGACUAUCAUAGAUAUAUCUUCGAGUCCUUGCAGUGCUUUCUGGAAUAAUUGCGUUAGUUUUGACUCGCGGAACGGGAUGACUAUCUUCGCGCCGGUUUUUGUGCUUUUCGGAUUGAACUUAUGCAUCUACCCAAAACUAACAAUGAAUUAUUGAUGUUGUUUGAUUCAUUUAAACGACACCCGACAUUAUUUGUCUUCUUGCAUCGUUCGGACCCAGCCAAGUCACAGAAAUUCAUGCUACCAAUCACAUAAUUAUUUGAUUCGAUACUCGUGGAUUGUACAAGCGUAAUUGUAAAGAUACAGUGUGAUCUACUAGAGUGUGAGUUCAUCGAUGUAGCUGCAUAGUUUAAAUUUAACAAACCAUGCUGCAGAAUGCAAUAUGCAUCAUGACCGUUUGAUACAUACACUUGUUUCAAGUCUUUAAUGUAUGUUUCGCCAUUAUUGUUGUAAAUUUUGAGUUUUUGCGUGUUUUUCACCCCGCUUGGGGAUUCAAGCAGAUCAUACACACUUUCAUUGUAGAUUUUAGCAAAAGAGCAAAAGAAUGUGAUAUCGUAAAUACAAAGUUUUCGAUUAUUCCCGUCUGCUCUUUGUGCGAUGCUUCGUAGCUUCCCCCUCCAAGCAUAGACGUGUGUAUGUGUGUACGUGUGGGUUGAAGUUGACCGGUAGAUGUUUUUGUUUGGAGAAGGAAAGUCGCUUUCUCUGUCUGUCCCUUUGUAUGCUUAAAUCUUUGAAACUGCGCAACGGAUUUUUUUAAAAUUGCGGACGUAGCGUUUUCGGCGGUGCCGGCCGGCCGCCCGGUGCGGCAAGAGCGUGCCUAUAAAUAGCGCGUCUGAGGCCGCGGUUUUCCUGUAGCACUUUGAAUUUAGCAGCGAAGAUAUUCCAAAGACAGCAGGAAAUCUUCAUGGUAUAGGAAAGGUGGAUAGUUUUACUCCAAAUUUAACGCGUGCGGGCCACGGGCAGUAAUGAAUAAAUCAAAAAUACUGGAUCGAUUUUAAUCACAUAGGCUAUAUAUUUUAAACCCGUGCGAAGCCGUAGCGGGUCGCUAUGUUUUUAUAUACAACAUUCACAGUUUUUCUGUAGUGUAUUUAGUAUCAGUAUUGCAACCGUGCGAAGCCGGGGCGGGUCGCUAGUCAGUUAUAAAAGUUCAGAUCUGCAGAGCAGAAUAAAAGAACUCUACAGAAUCAAAGGUUCAGUAUCCAGUGAAUUAAGAGACAUGGAACACAAGAGGCAGAAACUCCAACAAGACAUACAACUGUAUACCAAAAACAUAGAACAAUUGAAAGCUGAAUUGCUACAUCAACAGACUGAACUAAACAGAUUGAAAAUAUCAGUGGAGCAAGCCCAGGUAGCUCAAAGGGAAGCCCUGCAACAAAACACACCGGAAUUGGCUUUACCAAAGAGACUAACUGCCAAUACAUUCCCAUUGAGUUAUCCUGCAGUGAGCAAAGAAGAAUCACACACUUGCAGGAUGUAUAAAUGUGUGUCAUAUUGCAUACGAUUUAAUUUAUUCUUUGACUUUCUUGUAUUAUGUCAGUUAAUAAAUUAUAAAUAUUAA
Molecule: long non-coding RNA, 2098 nt
Organism: Dalotia coriaria
Lineage: Eukaryota; Metazoa; Arthropoda; Insecta; Coleoptera; Staphylinidae
Exons: 2
Source: RefSeq, a predicted model, not a curated record